GAUGAACGCUGGCGGCGUGCUUAACACAUGCAAGUCGAACGAAGCACCUUAUUCUGUUUUCUUCGGAAUGAAAAAUUUGGUGACUGAGUGGCGGACGGGUGAGUAACGCGUGGGUAACCUGCCUCAUACAGGGGGAUAACAGUUAGAAAUGACUGCUAAUACCGCAUAAGACCACAGCACCGCAUGGUGCAGGGGUAAAAACUCCGGUGGCAUGAGAUGGACCCGCGUCUGAUUAGGUAGUUGGUGGGGUAACGGCCUACCAAGCCGACGAUCAGUAGCCGACCUGAGAGGGUGACCGGCCACAUUGGGACUGAGACACGGCCCAAACUCCUACGGGAGGCAGCAGUGGGGAAUAUUGCACAAUGGGGGAAACCCUGAUGCAGCGACGCCGCGUGAGCGAUGAAGUAUUUCGGUAUGUAAAGCUCUAUCAGCAGGGAAGAAAAUGACGGUACCUGACUAAGAAGCACCGGCUAAAUACGUGCCAGCCGCCGCAGUAA
RNAcentral lists this ribosomal RNA (497 nucleotides) under uncultured bacterium. RNAcentral describes it as "partial 16S ribosomal RNA". It matches the Rfam family "Bacterial small subunit ribosomal RNA", at positions 28 to 523 of the family's 1533-position model. The record is from RNAcentral.